GAGGGUAUAGCUCAAGUGGUAGAGCACAUGCUUAGCAUGCAUUAGGUCCUGGGUUCAAUCCCCAGUACCUCUU
This 73-nucleotide transfer RNA is filed under the name Camelus bactrianus (Bactrian camel). It matches the Rfam family "tRNA". Rfam says of the family: Transfer RNA (tRNA) molecules are approximately 80 nucleotides in length. Their secondary structure includes four short double-helical elements and three loops (D, anti-codon, and T loops). The record is from Rfam by way of RNAcentral. Lineage: Eukaryota; Metazoa; Chordata; Mammalia; Artiodactyla; Camelidae. RNAcentral also lists the same sequence under 1 other name.